UGAUGGGAGAGGGACUUGUGAAGCUCCCCAAGCAUGAAAGAUCUGUUAAGUAUAAGUGACUGCUUAUGGAAAGAAAACAACAUUUAUCCAAUGGCAUGAUUUCUGAACCAAGAACCUUCCUGAACCAGGAAUACAGGAGAUAUACAACAACACCAAGCAGUUCUUAUUUAUAGUAGUGAAUAAACUGCCACAAU
Molecule: long non-coding RNA, 194 nt
Organism: Mastomys coucha (southern multimammate mouse)
Lineage: Eukaryota; Metazoa; Chordata; Mammalia; Rodentia; Muridae
Exons: 2
Source: RefSeq, a predicted model, not a curated record